Molecule: long non-coding RNA, 292 nt
Organism: Ipomoea nil (Japanese morning glory)
Lineage: Eukaryota; Viridiplantae; Streptophyta; Magnoliopsida; Solanales; Convolvulaceae
Exons: 2
Source: RefSeq, a predicted model, not a curated record
AAGUUAUUUCAAUGUUGGUUUGAGACUUAAUUCUAAUUUGUUAUUUUGAGCUCAACUUCCUGAAUUUAUGCAGAGUUCUGUGCUUGCCUUGGAAGAUUCAGCAAUAGAUGCUGAUCAAGUUGAGAACAUCAUUAUGUUUUGCCCAACAAAGGAGGAGAUUGAAAUGCUUAUGGUAAAAAAAUGUUUUAGAUUUAUUAGCUAUUUGUACACAAAUCAUGUUGAAAACUGUAAAUUCACUUAUCUUGUAAAGGCCUUGUGCCUCUUUUGUGUGGAAUAAAGUUCAAGUUCGGAA